Gossypium arboreum is the source of this 144-nucleotide microRNA precursor. It matches the Rfam family "MIR7502 microRNA precursor family". Lineage: Eukaryota; Viridiplantae; Streptophyta; Magnoliopsida; Malvales; Malvaceae. The record is from Rfam.
UGUUAAAAAUUUAAUUUAUUUCUAUUGUUGAAACUGGUGUGACUAUUAAAAUAAUCAGAUAGUUAUAUGUAGCCUGCCACGUGUACCUUAUGCUAGCGUACAGGGACCAAUUUUUAAUUGUAAAAAUGGAUGGAAUUUUUAAUA